Aedes albopictus (Asian tiger mosquito) is the source of this 460-nucleotide long non-coding RNA. RefSeq lists it as uncharacterized. The transcript is spliced from 2 exons. The record is from RefSeq and is a predicted model, not a curated record. Lineage: Eukaryota; Metazoa; Arthropoda; Insecta; Diptera; Culicidae.
UUGGUUCGUAAAAACUAAAACUGUAGCUUGUUUCUUUUCCGUCAUUACCAUCCGAACCUGCUGCCGAAGCCCACUUUGAAAUUGUAAGCAUUUGUAACAGACGCGUAUUUGCACCUGGAUUCAAGGUUGCAUCAUCAACAAUUUACGAUGGUCUUUGUCAGAAACCAUCCAAUAUACGAGAAGAAGAGACUCUGUUGUUGUACGCCGGAGGAAGCAUACGUUUCAUGGGAUAGCCGGUGGAGCCUCAGAGCGAUCGGCCAGGAUGGAUGUCGUGCAGCGUCCGUUGAAUCGUCGGUAGCGAUAUUCCUUGACCGUACAUUCGGGACCGAUGAGACAAUGUUUGAUGUGGGUGUGUGUUUCGGUCACUCGUAAUUCGGUAUCGAGCAGCAUUAGAUAGCAGUUGCCUGUGUUAUUUAGAAUCUAAAAUUAAAGAGAUUGUGAAUGUUUCAAACAAGUAUAA